Molecule: ribosomal RNA, 504 nt
Filed under: uncultured bacterium
Lineage: Bacteria
Description: bacterial SSU rRNA
Rfam family: Bacterial small subunit ribosomal RNA
Source: RNAcentral
AGUGGCGCACGGGUGAGUAACACGUGACUAACCUACCCUUGAGUGGGGGAUAACUUCGGGAAACCGAGGCUAAUACCGCAUAAUACCUACGGGUCAAAGGAGCAAUUCGCUUAAGGAGGGGGUCGCGGCAGAUUAGUUAGUUGGCGGAGUAAUGGCCCACCAAGACAAUGAUCUGUAUCCGGCCUGAGAGGGCGCACGGACACACUGGAACUGAAACACGGUCCAGACUCCUACGGGAGGUAGCAGUGGGGAAUUUUGCGCAAUGGGGGAAACCCUGACGCAGCAACGCCGCGUGGAGGAUGAAGUCCUUAGGGACGUAAACUCCUUUCGAUCGGGACGAUUAUGACGGUACCGAGAGAAGAAGCCCCGGCUAACUUCGUGCCAGCAGCCGCGGUAAUACGAGGGGGGCGAGCGUUGUUCGGAAUUAUUGGGCGUAAAGGGUGCGUAGGCGGUUUGGUAAGUCUGAUGUGAAAUCUAUGGGCUCAACUCAUAGUCUGCAUCGGA